RNAcentral lists this ribosomal RNA (439 nucleotides) under uncultured bacterium. RNAcentral's name for it is "partial 16S ribosomal RNA". It matches the Rfam family "Bacterial small subunit ribosomal RNA", at positions 339 to 795 of the family's 1533-position model. The record is from RNAcentral.
CUACGGGCCGCAGCAGUGGGGAAUAUUGCACAAUGGGCGCAAGCCUGAUGCAGCAACGCCGCGUGAAUGAAGAAGGUCUUCGGAUCGUAAAGUUCUUUUCUUAGGGAAGAAAAAUGACGGUACCUAAGGAAUAAGCACCGGCUAAAUACGUGCCAGCAGCCGCGGUAAUACGUAUGGUGCAAGCGUUAUCCGGAAUCACUGGGCGUAAAGGGAGCGUAGGCGGCUUUGCAGGUCAGAAGUGAAAGGCUACGGCUCAACCGUGGUAAGCUUUUGAAACUGCAAGGCUAGAGUGCAGGAGAGGCAAGUGGAAUUCCUAGUGUAGAGGUGAAAUUCGUAGAUAUUAGGAGGAACACCAGUGGCGAAGGCGACUUGCUGGACUGUAACUGACGCUGAGGCUCGAAAGCGUGGGGAGCGAACAGGAUUAGAUACCCCGGUAGUC